Long non-coding RNA from Heterocephalus glaber (naked mole-rat), 894 nucleotides. Lineage: Eukaryota; Metazoa; Chordata; Mammalia; Rodentia; Bathyergidae. The record is from Ensembl.
CCUGAGGACUGCACAGUUAAGUCCCAAGGGCAGGGGAGUGAGGCUGUGGGAGAAGAAGGAGAAGUGAGAAAUCAGCACUUGGCUAGUGGGAUGAUCAAGGAGGUACUAGAUGUGGAGACUGAGGCCAGAGGAUCCACAGGCCAGGUUUUGUAGUGUCCAGAUCCAAGGGCAUCUCCCAGCUGGAGGAGAAGGAGAUGCCAUGGCCCUGCUGGGGUCUUUAUAUCCAGAUUCUCAGGUCAAGACAAGGUACAAACAGUUAACUCCAAAGGGAAAAAAUCUUUUGAAAAAAAAUUACAAAGAGUAACCCAGAAAGUUUUCCUAAGAGGCAAUCCAAAGGAGUCUGAGUCUAAACUAGCUUAUGGGACUGAAAUAGGAGCAGAACACUCAUGGAAAAAAGUCACAAUAAAGGGCAGGAGGAAGUUCUUUUCCCAAAAGAGAGGUUGAUGGCGAGUGACCAGCUCUCCCCUCAAAACCAGUUUAGCAGAGAAAGACCAGGAAUGCCACAAAUUAGAGAAAAAUUUGUCUCUUGACACAAAGUUUAUUGCUCAUCAGAGGGACAGGCCUGCAGAGAGAGCCACUAGAUGGAGGACACAUGGCCAAGGCUUUCUGUGGGAGCCAGGCCUGAGUGGACAGGAGACAGGUCCUGGUGGGUCAAAGCUCCUUAGAUGUCAUGUGUGUGGAAAAUCUUUCAGCAAAAAUUUACACCUUAGUCAACAUCAGAAAACUCACCCUUGAGAGAAGACCUGUUGAUAUAUCCAGUGUGGAUGAAUAUUCAAUCACAACUCAAUCCUGUGGAGAGAAACCCUAUAUGUGUAAUGAAUGUGGCAUUUGUGAUUUCAAGAGGCAUCAAAGCUUGUGAAACAUCAGAGAAUUCACACUGGAGAAAAUUCCUGC